AGGGACAAAGAGAAGAAUUGGGUGAUAUCUAAGCUGACAGAGUCUAGUAUUCAACAAAACAUAAAAAUUAUUUCAGUCAUUGGAUUAGGCGGCUCCGGUAAAACUACUCUCGCGAAGCUAGUCUUUAACGAUGGUAACACAAUAAAGCAGCAUUUUGAACUUAUACUGUGGGUUCAUGUGUCACGAGAAUUUGAUGUUGAGAAGCUUGUCGAGAAGUUGUAUGAAGCUAUUGCUGGAGACAAGCCUAACCAUCUCCCAUUGCAGCGUGUGAGCAGAACAAUCUCAGACAAGCUGGCUGGGAAGAAGUUCCUAGUUGUAAUGGAUGAUGUUUGGACGGAAGACCACGCUCACUGGGAGCAAUUCAUGGUACAUCUGAAGAGUGGUGCUCCUGGAAGUAGCAUUUUACUCACUGCUCGUAGUAGAAAAGUUGCGGAAGCGGUAGAUUCUACAUAUACAUUUGACAUGCCAUUCUUGUCUGAGGAUAACAGCCAGAAAGUGUUCGAGCAAAAUUUAGGAAGCGCAGCGAUUGGUUUGGACCCUGAAUUCCUACAAAUCGGGACAGAAAUUAUGAAGAAAUGCAGUGGUGUGCCCCUUGCAAUUAAAGUUCUUGCAGGUGUCCUCCGUGGAAUGAAAGGAAUAGAAGAAUGGCAAUCCAUAAGAGACAGUAAUUUGUUAGAUGUUGAGGAUGAAGAACGUAAAAUAUUUGCUUGCUUAUUGUUGAGUUAUAUUCACCUACCACAUCAUCUAAAGCGGUGUUUUUUACAUUGUUCUAUAUUUCCAAGAGGAUAUGUAAUCAAAAGGCGCCAUUUAAUUUCACAAUGGAUUGCCCAUGGCUUCAUCCCGACAAACCAAGCUCAACAACCUGAAGAUGUUGGAAUUGGCUACUUUGAUUCCCUUCUGAAAGUGGGUUUUCUUCAAGAUCAAGAGCAAGAUCACAGUGACGAGGUGACAUGCAAAAUGCAUGACCUGAUUCAUGAUCUCAGUAGAAAAAUUUUACAGGAUGAAUUUGUGUCCGGAAUAGAAACUAUCGAUCAAACAAAGAAGUGCAGUGGGAAGGUUGAUAGGAAACUAUAUGACAAGGUCCGUGCAUUCUAUGUUUCUAGGUGUAAACUUGCAUCUGACAGGACUAUGAACAAGCAGCGUUGCAUCCGCACAGUUAUAUUGAAGUAUAUGAAUAUUGAUUCAUUGCAUCUGUUCGUAUCCAACUUUGAAUACAUGGGCUAUCUUGAAAUCAGCAAUGUUAAUUGUGAAGCACUCCCAGACGCUAUCUCACAUUGUUGGAACUUGAAAGCUCUUCAUGUGAUAAAGUGCACCAGACUUGCAAAUUUACCUGAGUCUAUUGGUAAGCUUAAGAAGCUUAGAACUCUAGAAUUGAAUGUUGCUUGGAACGUCAAGAGUUUACCUCAGUCUAUCGGUGAUUGUGAUAGUCUUGGAAGCUUAUACCUAGAAAAUUGUGGAAUCAAAGAUAUGCCAAAUUCCAUUGAAAAAUUAGAAAAUUUAAGGGUCCUUAGUUUUGUGUACUGCACGGAUUUGCAGCAACUGCUACCGUCAGAACCAUAUGGGAAGCUUCGCAACUUACAGACCAUCACUUUAACAUUUUGUACUGCUUUUAAACACCUGCCACAGUGCAUCACUUUAUUGGGUCAUCUACAAUAUGUAGACCUUUCAUGUUGUACUGAGCUUAGAGAAUUGCCUGAAGGCAUAGGCGCCUUGAAAAAGCUUGAAGUUUUGAAUCUAGAGAGAUGCAGGAGAUUGUGUGGCCUGCCAGCAGGUUGUGGGCAACUGAUUCGUUUACAGCAGUUGGGCUUGUUUGUUAUAGGAGAUAGGACUAAGCAUGCAAGGAUCUCAGAGCUUGAAAAGCUUGAUAACCUUAAUGGAGAAUUGCAGAUAAAAAAUAUUAAACAUGUGAAGGAUCCAUUUGAUGCAGAAAUGAGCAAUCCUCCUCAAUUCUGCCAACUGACUAAACUAGUGUUGGUAAACUUACCAAACUUGGAGCACCUAUGGGGACUUGCGGAUUUACCUAGGAUAAAGACUCUUGAGCUGAGAGAAAUGCCUAAGUUGAUAGAAUUGCUUACUACCACAACUGGAUUAGAAAAUUGGGAGCAAGAAGACCAAGUGCAGUGCUGUUUCCCUGACCUCUCCACUCUGGUAAUAAGUGACUGUCCAAGAUUGAUUGUGAAGCCAUACUUUCCAGAUUCUCUGAAGAAUCUUACAUUGGAAGGAAGCCAUGGGCAAUUGCUUUCCUCAGGAUGCUUCUUCCAUCCGCGUCAUGCAGCUCAUGGUCAUGGCAACGAGUCUUCAUCUUCAUCCUGUAUUGUGGAUGUGAAGUAUCCCCACCUCACGUAUCUAAAACUUGAUCGACUGAUAGGCUCAUCAUCUGGCUGGGAGAUGCUGCGGCACCUCACUGAGCUUCGUACAUUGGAAAUAUCUGAGUGCAGGGACCUUAGGUAUUUGCCCGAGAGCAUGCGGAGCCUCACCUGCCUCCAUAUGCUGCUCAUAGAUCGCUGCAAUCUUUGUGUGCUGCCGGAGUGGCUUGGGGAACUGCAGUCUCUACAGGAUCUGCGCUUCCUAAAUCUCCCAAUAAUAACGUCCAUCGCCCCUCAAUCAAUACAACGCCUCACAUGCCUCCAAGUGUUGCACAUAAUGUCAUGCCAUGCCCUGCAGCAGCUGCCGGAGCAACUCGGGGAACUCUGCUCACUCCGUGGGCUUCACAUUUAUGAUUUGCCUGGUGUGACAUGCCUUCCCGAGAGCAUGCAACGCCUCACAUCGCUUCAAUGGCUCACCCUGAUUUGCUGUGACGCGCUGACCCAGCUUCCAGAGUGGCUAGGUGAACUCUGCACUUCGAAGGUUCCAUAUCCUUGGAUGCUCCGGCCUGACAUCGUUGCCCCAAUCCAUACAACGUCUUACCGGUCUAGAGGAAUUGUGUAUACGUAA
This 2934-nucleotide long non-coding RNA is filed under the name Oryza sativa Indica Group (long-grained rice). RNAcentral describes it as "lncRNA OsZS97_01G019550". Lineage: Eukaryota; Viridiplantae; Streptophyta; Magnoliopsida; Poales; Poaceae. The record is from RNAcentral.